GAUGAACGCUAGCGGCAGGCUUAACACAUGCAAGUCGAGGGGUAUUUAUCUUCGGAUUGAGAGACCGGCGCACGGGUGCGUAACGCGUAUGCAAUCUACCUUUUACAGAGGGAUAGCCCAGAGAAAUUUGGAUUAAUACCUCAUAGUAUAUAGACUCGGCAUCGAGAUUAUAUUAAAGUCACAACGGUAAAAGAUGAGCAUGCGUCCCAUUAGCUAGUUGGUAAGGUAACGGCUUACCAAGGCUACGAUGGGUAGGGGUCCUGAGAGGGAGACACCCCACAAUGGUAACGAGGUACAGACCAGACUCCUACGGGAGGGAGCAGUAAGGAAGAUUAGACGAGGAGCGCAAGCCUGAUCCAGCCGUGCCGCGUGAAGGAGGACGGUCCUAUGGAUUGUAAACUGCUGGUAUACGAGAAGAAACGCUGAUACGUGUAGCAGCUUGACGGUAUCGUAAGAAUAAGGAUCGGCUAACUCCGUG
RNAcentral lists this ribosomal RNA (478 nucleotides) under uncultured bacterium. RNAcentral's name for it is "partial 16S ribosomal RNA". It matches the Rfam family "Bacterial small subunit ribosomal RNA", at positions 28 to 507 of the family's 1533-position model. The record is from RNAcentral.